RNAcentral lists this ribosomal RNA (1990 nucleotides) under human gut metagenome. RNAcentral's name for it is "bacterial LSU rRNA". It matches the Rfam family "Bacterial large subunit ribosomal RNA", at positions 496 to 2471 of the family's 2925-position model. The record is from RNAcentral.
CAGUACCGUGAGGGAAAGGCGAAAAGAACCCCGGCGAGGGGAGUGAAAAAGAACCUGAAACCGUGUACGUACAAGCAGUGGGAGCACGCUUAGGCGUGUGACUGCGUACCUUUUGUAUAAUGGGUCAGCGACUUAUAUUCUGUAGCAAGGUUAACCGAAUAGGGGAGCCGAAGGGAAACCGAGUCUUAACUGGGCGUUAAGUUGCAGGGUAUAGACCCGAAACCCGGUGAUCUAGCCAUGGGCAGGUUGAAGGUUGGGUAACACUAACUGGAGGACCGAACCGACUAAUGUUGAAAAAUUAGCGGAUGACUUGUGGCUGGGGGUGAAAGGCCAAUCAAACCGGGAGAUAGCUGGUUCUCCCCGAAAGCUAUUUAGGUAGCGCCUCGUGAACUCAUCUCCGGGGGUAGAGCACUGUUUCGGCAAGGGGGUCAUCCCGACUUACCAACCCGAUGCAAACUGCGAAUACCGGAGAAUGUUAUCACGGGAGACACACGGCGGGUGCUAACGUCCGUCGUGAAGAGGGAAACAACCCAGACCGCCAGCUAAGGUCCCAAAGUCAUGGUUAAGUGGGAAACGAUGUGGGAAGGCCCAGACAGCCAGGAUGUUGGCUUAGAAGCAGCCAUCAUUUAAAGAAAGCGUAAUAGCUCACUGGUCGAGUCGGCCUGCGCGGAAGAUGUAACGGGGCUAAACCAUGCACCGAAGCUGCGGCAGCGACGCUUAUGCGUUGUUGGGUAGGGGAGCGUUCUGUAAGCCUGCGAAGGUGUGCUGUGAGGCAUGCUGGAGGUAUCAGAAGUGCGAAUGCUGACAUAAGUAACGAUAAAGCGGGUGAAAAGCCCGCUCGCCGGAAGACCAAGGGUUCCUGUCCAACGUUAAUCGGGGCAGGGUGAGUCGACCCCUAAGGCGAGGCCGAAAGGCGUAGUCGAUGGGAAACAGGUUAAUAUUCCUGUACUUGGUGUUACUGCGAAGGGGGGACGGAGAAGGCUAUGUUGGCCGGGCGACGGUUGUCCCGGUUUAAGCGUGUAGGCUGGUUUUCCAGGCAAAUCCGGAAAAUCAAGGCUGAGGCGUGAUGACGAGGCACUACGGUGCUGAAGCAACAAAUGCCCUGCUUCCAGGAAAAGCCUCUAAGCAUCAGGUAACAUCAAAUCGUACCCCAAACCGACACAGGUGGUCAGGUAGAGAAUACCAAGGCGCUUGAGAGAACUCGGGUGAAGGAACUAGGCAAAAUGGUGCCGUAACUUCGGGAGAAGGCACGCUGAUAUGUAGGUGAAGUCCCUCGCGGAUGGAGCUGAAAUCAGUCGAAGAUACCAGCUGGCUGCAACUGUUUAUUAAAAACACAGCACUGUGCAAACACGAAAGUGGACGUAUACGGUGUGACGCCUGCCCGGUGCCGGAAGGUUAAUUGAUGGGGUUAGCGCAAGCGAAGCUCUUGAUCGAAGCCCCGGUAAACGGCGGCCGUAACUAUAACGGUCCUAAGGUAGCGAAAUUCCUUGUCGGGUAAGUUCCGACCUGCACGAAUGGCGUAAUGAUGGCCAGGCUGUCUCCACCCGAGACUCAGUGAAAUUGAACUCGCUGUGAAGAUGCAGUGUACCCGCGGCAAGACGGAAAGACCCCGUGAACCUUUACUAUAGCUUGACACUGAACAUUGAGCCUUGAUGUGUAGGAUAGGUGGGAGGCUUUGAAGUGUGGACGCCAGUCUGCAUGGAGCCGACCUUGAAAUACCACCCUUUAAUGUUUGAUGUUCUAACGUUGACCCGUAAUCCGGGUUGCGGACAGUGUCUGGUGGGUAGUUUGACUGGGGCGGUCUCCUCCUAAAGAGUAACGGAGGAGCACGAAGGUUGGCUAAUCCUGGUCGGACAUCAGGAGGUUAGUGCAAUGGCAUAAGCCAGCUUGACUGCGAGCGUGACGGCGCGAGCAGGUGCGAAAGCAGGUCAUAGUGAUCCGGUGGUUCUGAAUGGAAGGGCCAUCGCUCAACGGAUAAAAGGUACUCCGG